GUCGACGGCAGCGCGGGGCAACCUGGCGGCGAGUGGCGAACGGGUGAGUAAUAUAUCGGAACGUACCCUGGAGUGGGGGAUAACGUAGCGAAAGUUACGCUAAUACCGCAUACGAUCUAAGGAUGAAAGUGGGGGAUCGCAAGACCUCAUGCUCCUGGAGCGGCCGAUAUCUGAUUAGCUAGUUGGUGGGGUAAAGGCCUACCAAGGCAUCGAUCAGUAGCUGGUCUGAGAGGACGACCAGCCACACUGGAACUGAGACACGGUCCAGACUCCUACGGGAGGCAGCAGUGGGGAAUUUUGGACAAUGGGCGAAAGCCUGAUCCAGCAAUGCCGCGUGAGUGAAGAAGGCCUUCGGGUUGUAAAGCUCUUUUGUCAGGGAAGAAACGGUGGGUUCUAAUACAGCCUGCUAAUGACGGUACCUGAAGAAUAAGCACCGGCUAACUACGUGCCAGCAGCCGCGGUAAUACGUAGGGUGCAAGCGUUAAUCGGAAUUACUGGGCGUAAAGCGUGCGCAGGCGGUUUUGUAAGUCUGUCGUGAAAUCCCCGGGCUCAACCUGGGAAUGGCGAUGGAGACUGCAAGGCUAGAGUUUGGCAGAGGGGGGUAGAAUUCCACGUGUAGCAGUGAAAUGCGUAGAUAUGUGGAGGAACACCGAUGGCGAAGGCAGCCCCCUGGGUCAAGACUGACGCUCAUGCACGAAAGCGUGGGGAGCAAACAGGAUUAGAUACCCUGGUAGUCCACGCCCUAAACGAUGUCUACUAGUUGUCGGGUCUUAAUUGACUUGGUAACGCAGCUAACGCGUGAAGUAGACCGCCUGGGGAGUACGGUCGCAAGAUUAAAACUCAAAGGAAUUGACGGGGACCCGCACAAGCGGUGGAUGAUGUGGAUUAAUUCGAUGCAACGCGAAAAACCUUACCUACCCUUGACAUGGCUGGAAUCCUUGAGAGAUCAGGGAGUGCUCGAAAGAGAACCAGUACACAGGUGCUGCAUGGCUGUCGUCAGCUCGUGUCGUGAGAUGUUGGGUUAAGUCCCGCAACGAGCGCAACCCUUGUCAUUAGUUGCUACGAAAGGGCACUCUAAUGAGACUGCCGGUGACAAACCGGAGGAAGGUGGGGAUGACGUCAAGUCCUCAUGGCCCUUAUGGGUAGGGCUUCACACGUCAUACAAUGGUACAUACAGAGCGCCGCCAACCCGCGAGGGGGAGCUAAUCGCAGAAAGUGUAUCGUAGUCCGGAUUGUAGUCUGCAACUCGACUGCAUGAAGUUGGAAUCGCUAGUAAUCGCGGAUCAGCAUGUCGCGGUGAAUACGUUCCCGGGUCUUGUACACACCG
Molecule: ribosomal RNA, 1327 nt
Filed under: Rugamonas rubra
Lineage: Bacteria; Pseudomonadati; Pseudomonadota; Betaproteobacteria; Burkholderiales; Oxalobacteraceae
Description: bacterial SSU rRNA
Rfam family: Bacterial small subunit ribosomal RNA
Source: RNAcentral